AACCUUCCAGUUCCUCCAGUGACCGUUCCUAAUCUUCCGGUUCCUCCAGUGACCGUUCCAAACCUUCCCGUUCCUCCGGUGAUUCCUCACCUUCCUAACCUUCCAGUUCCUCCAGUGACCGUUCCAAACCUUCCAGUUCCUCCAGUGACAGUUCCUAACCUUCCAAUCCCUCCAGUGCUUAAUCCACCAAGCACAGGAGGGAGUACACCCAAAGGGAGCACACCCAAAGGGAGUACACCUAAAGGUAACUGUCCACCAAAGACUACACCGGUGAAAAACACGUGUCCAAUCGACACUUUGAAAUUGGGUGCUUGUGUUGAUUUGCUUGGAGGAUUGGUACACAUUGGACUUGGUGACCCAACUGCCAACAAAUGUUGUCCUAUUCUUCAAGGACUUGCUGAAAUUGAAGCUGCUGCUUGUCUUUGCACUACUCUUAAGCUAAAGCUUUUGAAUCUUAACAUUUAUGUUCCACUUGCUCUUCAGCUCCUUUUGGCUUGUGGGAAAA
RNAcentral lists this long non-coding RNA (505 nucleotides) under Trifolium pratense (red clover). RNAcentral's name for it is "long non-coding RNA (TPRA_LNC001880)". The record is from RNAcentral. Lineage: Eukaryota; Viridiplantae; Streptophyta; Magnoliopsida; Fabales; Fabaceae.